This 3628-nucleotide long non-coding RNA is filed under the name Triticum aestivum (bread wheat). Its description in RNAcentral is "long non-coding RNA (TAES_LNC008195)". Lineage: Eukaryota; Viridiplantae; Streptophyta; Magnoliopsida; Poales; Poaceae. The record is from RNAcentral.
UCUGGUUAUUAAGUACGUAUACAUAUAAAGUGUGCUCUAUUGCUUAACUAAAUUCUGGACUUCAGGUAUACUACCUGACAAUGCACCCCGUGUUGAUAAAAAUAAUAUUGGGAUGCACCACAUACUGAUUCACAAAGUUUAGGUCUGUUUCCUUGGAGAUUCACAAACAAGUGAUGUAGAAUUGGAAAAUAGUGAUGUAGAAUUGAUCCAAAUUUUAAACAGACCUGCCCCUGAAUUUUAAACAGACCUGCACCUGGGUUUUUAACUGCUUUUUCUGUAUCUUAUUCUUUUACAGGAAUGCAUCAAUAAUCUUGGUAUAAAAUUUAUUUGGAUGGUUCAGAACCUUCAGAUGGCAUGGCUGAGAUAUAGUUUGUUGUAUUCAGUUUUUUUUUUCAUCGUCACAGGUUUGCAAAUUUUGGUUCUACUGCCAGUGCAUACUUUAUGUUUCCAUUUCCAUCAAUUCAUCUUGUAGAAUCUCUGUGACCCUCGACGUUGGUUUGGAAGUUCGGUUCAGUCAUAGCCUAAUUUUUGGGUCUUCGCAAAAAAAACGCCUAAUUUUUGGGAUUUAGUAAUUGUGGCCUGUUGUUAGUAUGCGAGUGUACAUACAAACGAUUAGCACUAUAUUUAUUUUGAUUUAUUUGUUGUGAUUAAGAGCAGAAGCUCUACUCAUCUAGGACGAGGUCUAUGACAAGGAAAGUUAAUGUAAAAAAUCAAAAUUGUGUGUGUUUGUGUGGUUAAUACUCACUUCAUUUUGAUAUAUUUGUCUUCUAAUAACCCACCGUGCACAGGACAGACCAUGCAAGCAUCAACUUAUCGAGAAAUGACUUAUUAACCUAUUAAAAGACCAUACCGGAACCACCAAUGGCAUAACCUUUUCAAAACAUUUAAGUAGGGGUGGGCAAUAGAAGCGUUGUAGUAACUGCUCGCUUGUUGAACGGACAAACAUUUUGACGAUGACUCUUGCUUUCAUGGAUAUACAGAGAUAAAUGGAUGGAUGUUGCAAAUACAGUAGAAAUCAUGGGUGCAACAAUUUUUAUGUCCAUGUUUUUCUUUUUGUCUGAUUGUGUAUGUAUACUGGUUACAGGGCACUAUUUGCGUAGAAUUUACUUGACCUGUAGGAACUGGCUCUACUAUCUAGCUUUUAAAUGUAAUAAAUCUAGAAGGCAAUGGAGCAUUAUUGUCUUUCCCUCUUUCUACAUAAGCAAGAAAGCUGUGACUUGGAUUCUGGACAUGAAUCUUCUUAACCUGUUGAAGCAGAAAACUAUAGAUGCAGAGUCCAAUUAGUUGUCCUUUGUGCAUACACAAGAAAGUGGAAUUUGGAGUCUGAACAUGAAUCCUUGAGACUGAUGGCCAGAAACAGAACACAACAUGAUGACCUUGAGUGAGACCCUUCUUCACAUGUGACUGCUCUCUUUUGGAAUACCAGCCAUGCGUGACAUGUUUAGUAGAACAGAUUGUGUCAUACGUCUGGUAGUUGUUGUUGCCUAUACAGAGUGUGAUGAUCUGAGGGUGUGAACUAUUUUUUGUGCAAAUUACUUGUUAUAUAAACUAUAUGGAUGGAGUUACGGGACAUUAAGAAAAGAUAUGAGAAAGAAUAUAGAGUGUGAAAUUUGCUAUAUAAAUUACUUGUUAUAUAAAAGUUGAAUCUCACGAUCCAACUUUUUAGAACUAUGCCACAACUUUUAUGAGGCCAUAAGUUUUUCUUUUGAAAUCUGCAGGUUAUAUGAUUUGUACAUGGCGGUGUUACUGAACAGAAGGAGGUAAUUUCUUCGCUCUUUCUAUUGAUUAAUAUUGUUCUUCACUCUUUCUAAACUAUUGAAUUUAUUAAUAUUAUUCUUGCACAAAUUAAUUAAUGAUUAUAUCAUCUUUUGGUCACUCGAGUAAGAUAGAACAUGAUGAUCCUCUCUUAAUUUGGUUUCUCCUCCGCUGAAGAAUAUAGGAAUCACCAGCAGCCCUUCUCGUGAGCACCAUGUCUAUGAACUCAUCUCCAUGCUUACUAUCCUUCUAUAAACUGGGGGUAUCCAUGUGUUGCUAAUAAGGCAUUUUCCAUUCUUUGUUUUUCAAUUCUGUAUCAGUAGUUCCGAGGAAGUGCUCAACCUAGACGUUGUUGGCCGAAGGAGGGGCGGAGCAGGUGCCAGUCAAGUAGGCGGCUCAAUGGGUGGGAGAUGGCAGCUGCCGAUCUCACACGGCUCAUGCGCCCCGCGACCCUCCCCUCCCCGGCUAAGUAGGAGGUUCGAGGGCAGCGACUAAGGAAGGAGCACAUCGGCGAUGAGGGCUAGCAAUAGCAAGACAAUUGCCAGGUGCAAUCGAUAUGCCGCCACGUCGGCCCUUCACGCGCGCCCGCCAGGGUUGGGACCUUUUUCAGAGCAAUGCGUAGUGUUUCCUUUAUUGUUGUUGUUUGUGAUGUCCUUGAUAUUCCUUUGCCAUAUGAUUUUUGAUCAUUUUCUCGCUCAUUCCUAGAGGAGCGCUAUGGAUAAUAUGAUUGAGAUGACUAAGAUACAUGCUUUUUGUUUACUUGGCAUCUACUUCUCUUAAUUUUUCUACAACCCUUCCUUUACAUGCUGGUAUGUUUUGUUGCCAGGCUCAGAUCGGCGAGACCCGUGCCAAUGCACGAGGUACAAUAUUGGUUAAUUUUCCAUCUCCAAUCAGAUUAAUGGUUUGCAUGCAGACCAAGCCCAGUGUUUUAUGGUGUUCUUAUUCCUGACUUAGUUGUACAUUUGACUUUUAGUUUCUUCAUAGAUAAUAAAGUAGUGGCAGAUGAACCAGUAAGUUAUCUGUGCCCAUUCUUUGCUAUAAGCAUUAAAUUUGCUCUCUGCUUUUACUUUCAAUGUGUUAUCCGUACCCCUGUUUUUUGUGGCUAAUUAUUAUGUCCUAUCAACAUAUGCAGAGUCCAUGGUAUCAUACGAUUUGAAGUUGAAAAAAUCAUGCUAUGGGUGAUACGGAAAAGUCAUUGCCUUCUUUGCUGGAACAUUUCCUAAGAUGAUCUAAGGUAAUUAUUUUAGUCACCAUGUCAUUUAUAUGCUAAAUUCAGUGCGUUGACAACUAGAGAUCGCUUCCUUUUUUUGUGUAUUGAUCAUUUCAGUACGAUUGUUUGAUACACUACCGACAUCAUUUUGCUUUCUUCUUGCUUGUUAUUUCAUUUAUUUCCUCCAGCAAGUGGAUGGCUAUUUCCACUACUUCAAGUUUUGUUUUGGCUCUAAUUGUGUGUAUGGCAUCUUGGCCUUCUUAGGUGAAGCAUUUAUGAAUAUCCUCGCUGAUCUAUGGAUCUAUCAUUGUAAGAGUCGAUAAUAUAUGGUGAGCUGCCUCACACCAUCAUUUGGUCUUCGUAGCAUUUGAGUUGGCAAAUUUGUUGGAUUCAUGCGAUUAUGCAUGGUAAGUGCUCAGAGACCUCAUAGCUCUAUAAAUUUUGCUUCCAAAAGUUAUGAAUAUUUUCUGUGCUUGGUCCUCUCAUUGGUGAGAGUAGCCAUGUAAAUCAAUCUGCAAUGGGAAAUGGGAGUUUGCAAACUACCGGAGUCUAUAACUGAGGGUCAUGUGCGGAGCUGGAGGAAGAAGUUGCGAGGCUUGGAACCCUCCUUGUGAAGGGCUCAGGGACAACAGUGAGGACAAUGCCUCUUUAGUUGUAAUUGUG